UAGUUUAUAUAAAAUAUAUAACUUGCAAUUAUAAGAAC
Molecule: transfer RNA, 38 nt
Filed under: Asotana magnifica
Lineage: Eukaryota; Metazoa; Arthropoda; Malacostraca; Isopoda; Cymothoidae
Description: tRNA-Ala
Source: RNAcentral